CACCGUUUGGCUUAGAAAAGAUAAAACCAACGAGAACCCAACUGUUUUGUCUUCCUCUUCGUUUUACCCUUCUGCAAAAAACCCUCAUCUCUCUCAUUCACAAACCUCUUUCUUCAUCUUCUUCACAAACCCUCCUCUACUCUCACGUCGACCUCCUCCUCAGCCGUUUUCUUUCCUAUGACGACGCAUUAGACAACACGGCCACCCAAGAAAUUUUUUGAUUGUCGUGUAUUGCA
RNAcentral lists this long non-coding RNA (236 nucleotides) under Citrus maxima (pomelo). Its description in RNAcentral is "long non-coding RNA (CMAX_LNC003506)". The record is from RNAcentral. Lineage: Eukaryota; Viridiplantae; Streptophyta; Magnoliopsida; Sapindales; Rutaceae.